GCCUUCGUGGUGCAGUGGUCAGCACGCUGGACGCGUAAAAUCGAGAGGUCCGUGGUUCAAAUCCCGGCGAGGAUA
RNAcentral lists this transfer RNA (75 nucleotides) under Stegodyphus mimosarum. It matches the Rfam family "tRNA". From Rfam's summary of the family: Transfer RNA (tRNA) molecules are approximately 80 nucleotides in length. Their secondary structure includes four short double-helical elements and three loops (D, anti-codon, and T loops). Lineage: Eukaryota; Metazoa; Arthropoda; Arachnida; Araneae; Eresidae. The record is from Rfam by way of RNAcentral.